Long non-coding RNA from Alexandromys fortis (reed vole), 2815 nucleotides. RefSeq lists it as uncharacterized. The record is from RefSeq and is a predicted model, not a curated record. The transcript has 2 exons. Lineage: Eukaryota; Metazoa; Chordata; Mammalia; Rodentia; Cricetidae.
UUAUUCUGCAAGCUCAGUUCCGGGAGAGGUUGGAGCUCGUAGCCCAGUAGUUCCAGGGGUUGCAGGGCGCGGCAGAACGAGGGCUUUGCGCCUGUGUUUCCGAGCACGGAGCUGCAGCAUUUGCUAACUUUCCGGAUGUCCUCUACAGUUCCGUGCCCUUCUAUCUCUCCCUGCGGCCGUUUCCUUGCCGUGGGUGGAGAUGUGGACUCUGAUCCUGGAUCACACCUUUAUAACUCAGGAAUCUGCCAAACCCUGAAGCUUGAGCUCUCAGAGUCCUUUUAUGCCGAAUCUAACCACGUGGGACACUCCCUGCCUGGCACAGGACACCUCCGUGUUUUUAAAGCCAAGUCUUUGGUCACUGGGAUCUGUGUUUCUAAAACCCGGACAAACACAUUCCUAAGUCAGGUUUCUGAUUAGCCCUGGGUUACGGAAGAGAGAACCACUUGCUGGUAGAGCGGGAGAGAAGCCCCCUUCUCCCUAGUCAUGGAUUGGAAGACAAGACCGAAGCUGUUGUGAGGUCUUGAGGCUGGCCCAUCACACUAUUAUUGCUAGGGCUAUCAUAAAAAUCACCAUAAACCCAUAAACCAGGUGUCUUAUGGCAAUUCAAAUUUUAAAACUCUCAACGUUCUGUAGGCCUUAAGUUUGAAGUUGUAUUGGCAGGAUCAGGCUACCUGGGAGGCCCUGGCGGAGCCUCUUUUGUUGCCACUCCUGGAUUCUAGUGGUGCAUACCUUGGGUCCCAUUACUUGAGAGGUAGAGGCAGGCAGAUCUUUGUGGGUUUGAAGCCAGCCAGAGUUACAUGGUGAGACCCUGUCUCAAGUAAUAAUAACAAUAAUAACUAAUAAUGAUAACAAUAAUACACAAACAAAAAACAUACGACAACAACAAAAAUUCCUAGUUAUAUCUGCAAAACCCCUUUCUCCAGGUAAGAUUAUACUCGCUGGCUGUGGAUAUGUCUUUAUGUGGCUACCAUGUAGCAGAACCAAAGUGGAUACAUUUCAAGAAGUCCUUAGUGUGUCUCCUCAUACUCAACCUUGCUCUCUUCUACCAAUUAGACAGUGCUCCCAACCUGAGUUCACAGUGAGCUCUGUUCCAUCCCCUCUUCUACCCACAGACUGGUAACAUACUCAGACAUACCCACUUCUUCCUCCACCCCCCCUCCAAUUCUUCCAUUCUUCAUGUGUAUGUGUGUGCAUGAAUACCACAUGCAUGCAGAAGCCCUGGGAGGCCAGAAGAGGGUAUCAGACCCUGGGAACUGAACAAGAGCAGCCAGUGCUUUUAGCCUCUGAGCCGUGUCUGUAGCUCCUCUAUUCUUACUGCUUAGGUUCACAGGAUUCCCAGGGGGUUAUCUGUGCUCACCCACAUUUGAGCAGGGGCUGCCCUUCAUUUGCUUCUCUUUUGUUUUGAUUUUUUUGAGACAGGGUCUCACUGUGUGGCCCAGGCUACUUACUUGCAGCAAUCCUUCUGCCUCGGCUUUCUACAUGCUGGGAUUACAGACAUAAGCCACCAGGCAGUCUCUCUGCGUUCACCUGAGACAGUGUUACUGGCCCUUAACCUGAUGUUACCAGUUCUCCUGGAACCCAAACCAAAGAAACAGUCUGCUCCAAACUCUCCAUUUCUCCAAGGGUUUCAGGCUCUUCUUCUCUGGUCUAAGCCCAGCACUUAACAUUUUCAGGAUUCUUAGAAUAUCUGAGCUGGGGGAGCUUAGAACCCUGGCAAUCCCCUGCUUCUUGGCUUGGGGCCCAGAUUCCUAAGAGCCCAAAUGGAAGAAAUGGGGUCUAAUGUUUCUUACAUUUAGUAUCCCAAUAUAAAAUGUAUUUUAUAAUUACAAAAUAGUGCAUAGCCAAUGCAGGAAAGUUGGGGAACAUGAAGAAGAGACUCAGGGAAUUAAAAUAUCUCCCGACUUGCACCGUUCUCACUUAGACCUUUAGCCUCAGGAGUCCACUGCCUGGCACAGGUAGACACUCAUUUGUCCAAUUAUAUUCCGUCUCAUCCCCCAGAGAUAAAAACACAAUUAGGUUUUGAUUGCUUAGCCUUCCGGCCUUUCAUGUACCUUUUUGUGCAGAGGGAAUCACAUUACACACGCAGCUCUCUGUAGCUUGCCUUUCUCCUCUCUCUUGGCGUUACUAUGAGUAACUAUGACUUACUAUGAGUGUGUUGAUGUUUUUAAACUGUACCCAUAAACCAGGUGUCUUAAGACAAUGCUUUUUUAAAAUCUCAGUGUUCUGUAGGCCUUAAGUCUGAAAUAUAUAUAUAUGUAUGUAUAGAUAUAUAUAUACAUAGACAUAUGUAGAUAUCUCUCUCACUACAUCUCUAUAUCAAUAUCUCCCUAUAUCUAUCUAUCUGUCUAUCUAUCUAUCGAGAGAAUUUGUUUUGUUUUUUGAGGCAGGGUUUCUCUGUGUAGCCCUGGCUGUCCAGGCUGGCCUUGAACUCACAAAAAUUCUCUUGCCUCUGUCUCCCUAGUGCUGGGAUUAAAAGUGUGCACCACUACAUUUGGUUGAACUUUUUAAUAUUUAUUUUACCUUAUGCAUAAAUAUAAAUAAAAUGUAAUAUAAAUAAAAAUUUUAUAAACAUAUAAAAUAAAAAUUUUAUAAAUUAUUAUAUAAAAGUAUAAUAUAAUAUAAAUAAAAUGUAUUGAUUUUAUUGGGUUGGAGAGGUUAAGAGCACUGGCUGCUCUUCCAGAUGUUCUGAGUUCUAUUCCCAGCCACCACAUAGUGGGCUCACAAUCACUAUAAUGAGAUCUGGUGCCCUCUUCUGGUAUACAGGAAUUUGUGAAAGCAGAACACUGUAAACAUAAUAAAUACUUUUAAAAAAUUA